Molecule: ribosomal RNA, 253 nt
Filed under: uncultured bacterium
Lineage: Bacteria
Description: partial 16S ribosomal RNA
Rfam family: Bacterial small subunit ribosomal RNA
Source: RNAcentral
UACGUAGGUGGCAAGCGUUGUCCGGAAUUAUUGGGCGUAAAGCGCGCGCAGGCGGUCCUUUAAGUCUGAUGUGAAAGCCCACGGCUCAACCGUGGAGGGUCAUUGGAAACUGGGGGACUUGAGUGCAGGAGAGAAGAGUGUAAUUCCACGUGUAGCGGUGAAAUGCGUAGAGAUGUGGAGGAACACCAGUGGCGAAGGCGACUCUGUGGCCUGUAACUGACGCUGAGGCGCGAAAGCGUGGGGAGCAAACAGG